This 484-nucleotide ribosomal RNA is filed under the name uncultured bacterium. Its description in RNAcentral is "partial 16S ribosomal RNA". It matches the Rfam family "Bacterial small subunit ribosomal RNA", at positions 30 to 507 of the family's 1533-position model. The record is from RNAcentral.
AUUGAACGCUGGCGGCAGGCCUAACACAUGCAAGUCGAGCGGAUGAAGGGAGCUUGCUCCUGGAUUCAGCGGCGGACGGGUGAGUAAUGCCUAGGAAUCUGCCUGGUAGUGGGGGAUAACGUCCGGAAACGGGCGCUAAUACCGCAUACGUCCUGAGGGAGAAGGUGGGGGAUCUUCGGACCUCACGCUAUCAGAUGAGCCUAGGUCGGAUUAGCUAGUUGGUGGGGUAAAGGCCUACCAAGGCGACGAUCCGUAACUGGUCUGAGAGGAUGAUCAGUCACACUGGAACUGAGACACGGUCCAGACCCCUACGGGAGGCAGCAGUGGGGAAUAUUGGACAAUGGGCGAAAGCCUGAUCCAGCCAUGCCGCGUGUGUGAAGAAGGUCUUCGGAUUGUAAAGCACUUUAAGUUGGGAGGAAGGGCAGUAAGUUAAUACCUUGCUGUUUUGACGUUACCAACAGAAUAAGCACCGGCUAACUUCGUG